Octopus bimaculoides (California two-spot octopus) is the source of this 467-nucleotide long non-coding RNA. The record is from RefSeq and is a predicted model, not a curated record. NCBI's taxonomy places the organism in Eukaryota, Metazoa, Mollusca, Cephalopoda, Octopoda, Octopodidae.
UUCGUUGAAUUUCAGCAAGAAAUGCUGCAAAACGUUUUGUCCGGUAUGCUUACGAAUCUGCAAGCUCGCCACCUUAAGCUCGGUAAGAAGGGGAGGCUAUGUUUUGCCGGUGAGAUCAGAAUAACACCGAAACAUUCUUCUCAGGUACGUUAAAUCGACUCGAGUAUUGAACUGGUACUUCAUUUUAACAACUAGGAUGGAUGAAAGAUCAAUCUGACUUCAGCAGAAUCAGAAUUGAAACUGUAAAGACCCGGAACUAAACAUAGCCAUGCAUUUUGUCCAAUGCUUUUACGAUUCUGUCACUGUAUUGUCGAUAUCAAGACCUACAUAAAAUUAAAUCGAGCUCAUCUCAACAGAUUGUAAUACUUUUCGCCUGUCUUUAGUUCAGUUAUUAGUUUUACCUGUUCCUUUCAUUUACAAAGAGCUGUGGACCUCAAUUCGAUGUAGAGGUCGUGGGCCCUUCUAUG